This is a non-coding RNA of Taeniopygia guttata (zebra finch), 396 nucleotides long. The record is from RefSeq and is a predicted model, not a curated record. Lineage: Eukaryota; Metazoa; Chordata; Aves; Passeriformes; Estrildidae.
UCCAUGUAUCCUGGUCCUUUUCCCAUUAUCUGAAGCAUCUCCACCACCCUUGGCCUGGAUGACAAGAGAGCUGACGAUGUAGCCAGCCUGUUGUACUGGUCCUGCUAGCAAACAGUGCCUGGAAAAUGUUUACCUGCAAACCUAAAGAGGCUUAUCACUCCUGAGACAAAACAUAAUUAUACCUGAUUAUUGGGAGUCAAUGCUGUAAUCCAUAAAAGGUUAUGACAUGUCAAGGAAAAUAUAGUUCCAUGAGCUCAAUAUGUGUACUGAGCAGAUAGUGAAGAGUCUAAGAAGGGACAUCACUACGGAACUUCUUGACCUUUCUGGAAUGAGAGGACAUCCAAUGAAGACUGUGGGUCCUGAUUCAAAGUGAAUAAAGUGAGGUUGACAACAUGA